UUCAAGUGUUGGAAAGUUAUGACAUUUGUCACCCCAGGCCUGCCGGCCUAGUUGUAGCUAACAACUUAGGUGCAGGAUUGUCAAUCCUGUAUAGAUCUAUACACAAGUAUCAUGCUCCCCCUAUAAGGGAUUAUGGUAUAUAAUACAGGACUUGAAAUGCAUACUCGAAAGUACGUGAAAUGUCUCACAAAAUUUAGUAUAAAAUAGAUUUACGUAUGAAAAUGUCCAUUUGUUCUUGUAUAUGAGAAUAUCUCUUUGAUGUAGUGUUCUUAGUAUGUAAAUGUUCAUGAUUUCCUCGUAAACUAUACCUAUUAUAGUUUUUCAAAAUGUGUUUCGUUCGUAUAGUAAACCCUAGUGUAAUGCUCACUCAUUAUGUAAAGUAUAACACGUAAAGUGACUUGACUGAUCACAUAUACCUAAAGUAAAAAUGGAGCAUUUGAUUUGUAUAUACAUAUAUAAAGACAUUUUAUUUCCAUAAGACAAGGUGUUAUUGAAAAUGUAUAUUUCAUACAAGAAUACUCAUCUAGUAGUUUAUGAAUCACAUAUGAUUAGUUAGAUGAAAUGUUUAUAUAGUGAAUCGUUAAGUUAUACACGAUAAUAACCGCAUGUUUUACUUGCAUUCCCCCUAAUAAUGUAUAAAAAUCAUUUAUCAAACAUUUAAAAGCGUAGUUUAUAUGGGUAUGAACUCAACUGAAUGAUCGAAGAAGGCGAGAUGAAAACCAAGCAUAACUUUGACUCGAGAAAGCGGAUUUUCUCGGGACUCUCGGGAAUCUCGGGAGCACAAACGACCUUCGAGGCUUGAGUAUGGAAACCGGGGCUUCGGGAUAUCACAUGCACGGAAAACAAGGCAAAAACGCAAGAAAGGUGUUAGGAAAUGAGCAUUUUCCCCGGAACCCUCGCAUCCCUUUUAUAGGGGCUUGGAACCGCCUCGGUACAUUGUGCGUACGCGGUUACGCUGGGCGUACGCAUGCGUCAUGCGUGACCGCAUCCUCGACUGCCUCGGAGCUCGGAUGGGACGGGGCAUAGCCUCACAUAGGGGGCGACGUGGACGUUCCGAGGCCUAGUCCUCGAGUACGCUGGGCGUAACUCGGAUUGGCCCGGUGACUCCCCUUUGGAUAAUACCGAAAUUUGAUUUAAAUUUAUCUUUUUAUUAUUCAGUAAAAUUCAAAAAUUCAUAUCUUCUUCAUACGAACUCGGUUUUUGACAUUCUUUAUAUCCACCUGUAGGUUAGACUACGCUAUACAACUUUCGUUUAGACUCCGUCGGCAAUUUUUAAAUUGUUUUUAUUAUUUAUUUAUUAAAAGGUCAGGGUAAGAAAAGCUUGCUAGAAAUCCAUAACUUCUUUAUCCGAUGUCUGUUUUUGCUAGACUUUUUACAGUUGAAAGACCAUUGUCGAGAUCUUCGAUUCUCAUUUAGGUCAUUUCGGCAAAAAGUUGCUUGAUCUCUGUUUCGAGUUUUUAGUUGUCUAUCGCUAUGCCGAACUUGGAAAAGUCAUAAGUUCCUCAUUCGAAGUCAGAUUUGGACGUUGUUUUUAUGUACGAUCACGGUUUAAUGAUAUCUAACAUAGUAGGUAACCAAAAAGAGACUUUUGUACAUUUUUAUUUUCAAAGUUAAUUUCAUUAUUUUUGCAAGUGGUUACAAUACUUGGCUUUUUAAGUCAUUACAUAGAAUCGAAAUAUCGAGUUGUCACAUGCAUGCACACCUUAAUAGUGUGAGAAUGCUCUAAACCCUUCAUUGGUAUUAAAUCGUAGGACUGUUUUCAAUUAUACUUGAUGUUACUUGUAUUUGAAGCUUGAAAAACCAAAUUUCGGCUUUCUGGACAAUGGACUCACCUAGUCCACUGGCUGACUCACCGAGUCAGCCUUUAAAAUCAUCCAGCUAGCCGAGUCAGUUCAUGCAAUCGACGAGGUGGUGCUCCUGGAUGCAGAUUUUUGAGUUUUAAAGCUGGAAUUGGGCUAGGAUCAUUAGCCUAAACUAUUUUUGAACUUAUAAACAUGUUUUUGAUGUGGUAAUGAUCAUGCUAAUCCAAUUCAAAAGAAUAAUUGUCAAAGUUUCAAGUUUUAUAUUAGUUUAUAUGAUUCUUGGAAAUUGUUGAUGUGAAUUAUCCUUGCUUAUGAGUUUUGCUAGAUCAUAGAAAUUAUUUGACACUUGCUUGUUAGUUUAAUUGUUGAUAUAAAUGCCUUUUAAUGGACUCCAUAACUUGUCCUCAAGUUAUGGAAUUUCAAAAAAAAUCUCCUUAAAAGUCAUUAAAACUCAUAAGUUAUAAAAAUGAAAGGUUUUGAAUAGUUUCAAAACAUGCCCUCAAGUUUUGGAAUCUGUAAUGUCACGUUAGAAAACUUUAAUUCCAAACCCUACAAUUUUAAAAGUUUAAAAUUCAAUCCUUGUACUUUAUCAUAUUAUAAGUUAAUAAUAUAUAUAUAUAUAAGAUCAAGUCGUCUUACCGCUAGUAGGCCUCAUUCACGAAGCCGGUCUAUAAGGGGGGUAUAAGGUUGUUGCCUAUAAAAUGGCAACUUAAUGGGUGUCCACUCNUGCCUAUAACAAUGAUCUUCAAGUGUUGGAAAGUUAUGACAUUUGUCACCCCAGGCCUGCCGGCCUAGUUGUAGCUAACAACUUAGGUGCAGGAUUGUCAAUCCUGUAUAGAUCUAUACACAAGUAUCAUGCUCCCCCUAUAAGGGAUUAUGGUAUAUAAUACAGGACUUGAAAUGCAUACUCGAAAGUACGUGAAAUGUCUCACAAAAUUUAGUAUAAAAUAGAUUUACGUAUGAAAAU
RNAcentral lists this long non-coding RNA (2769 nucleotides) under Lactuca sativa (garden lettuce). Its description in RNAcentral is "long non-coding RNA (LSAT_LNC004812)". Lineage: Eukaryota; Viridiplantae; Streptophyta; Magnoliopsida; Asterales; Asteraceae. The record is from RNAcentral.